CAGUCGCCGCGGUAAAACGGAGGGUGCAAGCGUUAAUCGGAAUUACUGGGCGUAAAGCGCACGCAGGCGGUUUGUUAAGUCAGAUGUGAAAUCCCCGGGCUCAACCUGGGAAUGGCAGUGGAUACUGGCUCGCUAGAGUGUGUCAGAGGAUGGUGGAAUUCCCGGUGUAGCGGUGAAAUGCGUAGAGAUCGGGAGGAACAUCAGUGGCGAAGGCGGCCAUCUGGGACAACACUGACGCUGAGGCACGAAAGCGUGGGGAGCAAACAGGAUUAGAUACCCGCGUAGUCCCUGUCUCUUAUAC
Molecule: ribosomal RNA, 301 nt
Filed under: uncultured bacterium
Lineage: Bacteria
Description: partial 16S ribosomal RNA
Rfam family: Bacterial small subunit ribosomal RNA
Source: RNAcentral